UCCCUAGUGGUUCGAUGGUUAGGGCUCCACAUAUUCACUGCUGAAGCCCAGGUUCAAUUCCUGGUUGGGGAA
Bos taurus (domestic cattle) is the source of this 72-nucleotide non-coding RNA. Lineage: Eukaryota; Metazoa; Chordata; Mammalia; Artiodactyla; Bovidae. The record is from Rfam.